This 455-nucleotide ribosomal RNA is filed under the name uncultured bacterium. Its description in RNAcentral is "bacterial SSU rRNA". It matches the Rfam family "Bacterial small subunit ribosomal RNA", at positions 29 to 524 of the family's 1533-position model. The record is from RNAcentral.
AACGAACGCUGGCGGCAUGCCUAACACAUGCAAGUCGAACGAGACCUUCGGGUCUAGUGGCGCACGGGUGCGUAACGCGUGGGAACCUGCCUUUAGGUUCGGAAUAACUCAGAGAAAUUUGAGCUAAUACCGGAUAAUGUCUUCGGACCAAAGAUUUAUCGCCUUUAGAUGGGCCCGCGUAAGAUUAGCUAGUUGGUGGGGUAAAGGCCUACCAAGGCGACGAUCUUUAGCUGGUCUGAGAGGAUGAUCAGCCACACUGGGACUGAGACACGGCCCAGACUCCUACGGGAGGCAGCAGUGGGGAAUAUUGGACAAUGGGCGAAAGCCUGAUCCAGCAAUGCCGCGUGAGUGAUGAAGGGCCCUUUAGGGUUGUAAAAGCUCUUUUUACCCGAGAUGAUAAUGACAGUAUCGGGAGAAUAAGCUCCGGCUAACUCCGUGCCAGCAGCCGCGGUAAU